CCUACGGGAGGCAGCAGUGAGGAAUAUUGGUCAAUGGUCGGAAGGCUGAACCAGCCAUGCCGCGUGAAGGUCAGUGCCCUAUGGGCGUUAAACUUCUUUUGUGCGGGAGCAAUAAUGGUCACGUGUGGCCAGACGAGAGUACCGUACGAAUAAGCAUCGGCUAACUCCGUGCCAGCAGCCGCGGUAAUACGGGGGAUGCAAGCGUUAUCCGGAUUUAUUGGGGUUAAAGGGUGCGUAGGCUGUGAGGUAAGUCAGCGGUGAAAUGCCCCCGCUCAACGGGGUGAAGUGCCAUUGAUACUGCCGUGGUUGAAUGCGGAUGCCGUGGGAGGAAUGUGGGGUGUAGCGGUGAAAUGCAUAGAUAUCACACAGAACACCGAUUGCGAAGGCAUCUCACGAAUCCGCGAUUGACGCUGAUGCACGAAAGCGGGGGUAUCAAACAGGAUUAGAUACCCGUGUAGUC
This 460-nucleotide ribosomal RNA is filed under the name uncultured bacterium. RNAcentral's name for it is "partial 16S ribosomal RNA". It matches the Rfam family "Bacterial small subunit ribosomal RNA", at positions 338 to 795 of the family's 1533-position model. The record is from RNAcentral.